CUGCCCAGAAUUUUCGGGUUCC
RNAcentral lists this microRNA (22 nucleotides) under Pristionchus pacificus. RNAcentral describes it as "ppc-miR-2237d-3p". Lineage: Eukaryota; Metazoa; Nematoda; Chromadorea; Rhabditida; Neodiplogasteridae. The record is from miRBase by way of RNAcentral.